CUCCUACGGGAGGCAGCAGUGAGGAAUUUUGCGCAAUGGGGGAAACCCUGACGCAGCAACGCCGCGUGAGUGAAGAAGGCCCUCGGGUCGUAAAGCUCUGUCAAGUGGGAAGAACCCUUUCGGUGUUAACAGCACCGGGAGCUGACGGUACCACUGAAGGAAGCACCGGCUAACUCCGUGCCGGCAGCCGCGGUAAUACGGAGGGUGCAAGCGUUAUUCGGAAUUACUGGGCGUAAAGGGCGCGCAGGCGGCCUGUUAAGUCAGUUGUGAAAGCCCGGGGCUCAACCCCGGAAGUGCGACUGAAACUGGCAGGCUUGAGUAUGGGAGAGGGAAGUGGAAUUCCUGGCGUAGCGGUGAAAUGCGUAGAUAUCAGGAGGAACACCGGUGGCGAAGGCGACUUCCCGGACCAAUACUGACGCUGAGGCGCGAAGGCGUGGGUAGCAAACAGGAUUAGAUAUUUUGGUAGUCCACGCAGUAAACGGUGAUCACUAGGUGUUGCGGGCUUUGAUGUCUGCAGUGCCGAAGCAAACGCAUUAAGUGAUCCGCCUGGGGAGUACGGCCGCAAGGUUAAAACUCAAAGGAAUUGACGG
This 590-nucleotide ribosomal RNA is filed under the name uncultured bacterium. Its description in RNAcentral is "bacterial SSU rRNA". It matches the Rfam family "Bacterial small subunit ribosomal RNA", at positions 336 to 916 of the family's 1533-position model. The record is from RNAcentral.